This 387-nucleotide unclassified non-coding RNA is filed under the name soil metagenome. RNAcentral describes it as "partial contains 5.8S ribosomal RNA, internal transcribed spacer 2, and large subunit ribosomal RNA". The stretch from base 1 to 120 matches the Rfam family "5.8S ribosomal RNA", at positions 35 to 154 of the family's 154-position model. The record is from RNAcentral.
GAUGAAGAACGCAGCGAAAUGCGAUAAGUAAUGUGAAUUGCAGAAUUCAGUGAAUCAUCGAAUCUUUGAACGCACCUUGCACCCUUUGGCAUUCCGAAGGGUAUGCUCGUUUGAGUGUCAUUGUACUCUCACACUCUCCGAUCCUAUGGAUUCGGGGAGCGGUGGACUUGGGUGUUGCUGCCUUUCCUUGUGGCUCACCUCAAAUGUGUAAGUGCACCUCUUGGUUGGACAUAGUACGGCGUGAUAAGUGUCUUCGCCGGCACCUCGCAAGAGGGUGGCCGAUCGGGAGCUCUGUGCUUUCAAACCGUCUUCGGACAAUUUCUGACAACUUGACCUCAAAUCGAGUAGGACUACCCGCUGAACUUAAGCAUAUCAAUAAGCGGAGGA